This 1798-nucleotide ribosomal RNA is filed under the name Rhipicephalus microplus (southern cattle tick). RNAcentral's name for it is "eukaryotic LSU rRNA". The stretch from base 1 to 1351 matches the Rfam family "Eukaryotic large subunit ribosomal RNA", at positions 1210 to 3401 of the family's 3401-position model. Lineage: Eukaryota; Metazoa; Arthropoda; Arachnida; Ixodida; Ixodidae. The record is from RNAcentral.
ACCCAUGAAGGGUGUUGGUUGCUUAAGACAGCAGGACGGUGGCCAUGGAAGACGGAAUCCGCUAAGGAGUGUGUAACAACUCACCUGCCGAAGCAACUAGCCCCGAAAAUGGAUGGCGCUCUAGCGUCGCGCCUAUCCCCGGCCGUCGCUGGCAGAAAAGCACGAAAUGUGGGGGUGCUAAGCCGCGACGAGUAGGAGGGCCGCAGCGGUGUGCGUUGAAGGUGUCGGGCGUGAGCCCGCCUGGAGCCGCCGCUGGUGCAGAUCUUGGUGGUAGUAGCAAAUACUCAAGUGAGAACCUUGAGGACUGAAGUGGAGAAGGGUUCCAUGUGAACAGCAGUUGAACAUGGGUCAGUCGGUCCUUAGGGAAAGGAGAAAUCCUUUCAGAAGCGGGCGCGUUUGUGCAGCUCAGUCUGUGAUACGGAGACGCCCCGCUGCAACCAAAAGGGAAUCGGGUUAACAGUCCCGAACCCGGCUACGGAGAUCGGCUCUUCGGAGCCCAGUGCGGCAACGCAAACCAGCUCGGAGACGCCGAUGGGAGCCCCGGGAAGAGUUUUCUUUUCUCUGUAAGGAGAUCGAGUCCCUGGAAUGGGUUCACCCCGAGAUAGGGACGGUGGCUCCGUAGAGCAGUGCGGCUCUUGCGCUGUCCGGUGCGCUCCUGUCGGCCCUUGAAAAUCCGAGUGAGGGAGUGUGAUUUUCGUGCCGGACCGUACCCACAUCCGCAGCAGGUCUCCAAGGUGAACAGCCUAGAGUCGAUAGACCAAUGUAGGUAAGGGAAGUCGGCAAAACGGAUCCGUAACCUUGGGAAAAGGAUUGGCUCUGAGGGCUGAGCCGGUCGGGCUGGGGUCCAGAAGCAGGAACGGCACUGCACCGGGACUGGGCGAGGCUCGCCGCCGUAAAAAGCGGUGCGGCCGAGCCCGGACCAGCGUCGGGACCUUCCUGUGGAAAGCCACAGCUGUGCAUUUUCCGUGGGCUUCGCGCCUGAGGUUCUUGCUUCGGCCGGCAGAAAACAGCCAACUCAGAACUGGCACGGACCGGGGGAAUCCGACUGUCUAAUUAAAACAAAGCAUUGCGAGGGCCGUUGAUCGGUGCUGACGCAAUGUGAUUUCUGCCCAGUGCUCUGAACGUCAAAGUGAAGAAAUUCAAAAAAGCGGCGGGAGUAACUAUGACUCUCUUAUGGUAGCCAAAUGCCUCGUCAUCUAAUUAGUGACGCGCAUGAAUGGAUUAACGAGAUUCCCACUGUCCCUAUCUACUAAAAACAUAAUCUGGGGAGGGGAAACAACAAAUCAAAGAGGCAUAGAAGUUUUAGAAUUUAUCAAUAGAAACAACCUUACUGUUUUAAAUGACCCACAGUCAUUACCAACUUUUCAAUCCUCGAAUGGCAGAAUCUGGAUAGACCUUUCUAUAAGCUCGAUUCCCUUGGGUAAAACAUUCUUAAUUGGGAGGUAUUAGAGGAGGACAGCCUUAGCGACCAUCGCUUCAUUAAAAUUGAACUUUUCAAGGUCAAAACCAAGAGGGAAAAAAGAUUAACAAAAAUGGGGGAAAAGAAAGUAUUAGAGGAGCUACGAGAAGACAGAUGGCUUCGAACCACGGCCCAGAGGACAAUAGAAAAUAGGAACCAGCUGGAAACCAUAGUAAACCUAUUCUACGAAAGAUGAGCUUGAAAAGAAACAUUCAAAACAUGUUAGCAAUGAUGACAAGAAGCAGAAAGCGUGGUGGAAUGCAGAAUUAGAACUAAAAAGGAAAAAAGUAAGAGCUUUACGGAGAAGGUACCAAAGGUGUUCAAACGAGCUCAGAGAGG